This 492-nucleotide ribosomal RNA is filed under the name uncultured bacterium. RNAcentral describes it as "partial 16S ribosomal RNA". It matches the Rfam family "Bacterial small subunit ribosomal RNA", at positions 29 to 507 of the family's 1533-position model. The record is from RNAcentral.
AGUGAACGCUGGCGGUAGGCCUAACACAUGCAAGUCGAACGGCAGCACAGUAAGAGCUUGCUCUUACGGGUGGCGAGUGGCGGACGAGUGAGGAAUACAUCGGAAUCUACUUUUUCGUGGGGGAUAACGUAGGGAAACUUACGCUAAUACCGCAUACGACCUACGGGUGAAAGCAGGGGAUCUUCGGACCUUGCGCGAUUGAAUGAGCCGAUGUCGGAUUAGCUAGUUGGCGGGGUAAAGGCCCACCAAGGCGACGAUCCGUAGCUGGUCUGAGAGGAUGAUCAGCCACACUGGAACUGAGACACGGUCCAGACUCCUACGGGAGGCAGCAGUGGGGAAUAUUGGACAAUGAGCGCAAGCCUGAUCCAGCCAUACCGCGUGGGUGAAGAAGGCCUUCGGGUUGUAAAGCCCUUUUGUUGGGAAAGAAAAGCAGCAGGUUAAUACCCCGCUGUUCUGACGGUACCCAAAGAAUAAGCACCGGCUAACUUCGUG